CGACAAGUGCGGUCUAUUGAUCCAGAAAUGGGUAGGAAAGUCCGGACACCAUAGGGCAGCAUAGCGGCUAACGGCCGUCAUCCGUGAGGGUAGGACAAGUGCAACAGAAAGCAAGUACAGUUCGGCUGUAGUGAAACCAGGUAAACUCUAUGCGGUGCAAUGCUAUGUAUACCAGCAAUUAAGGGCGGCUCGUCCAUGCUGGGGGGUAAGCAGCUAUAUCAUUCUGGCAACAGAAUGGACAGAUAAAUAAUAGACACUUUCAUUUAAAGUACAAAAUCCGGCUUAUAGCACUUGUCUUUUU
RNAcentral lists this RNase P RNA (301 nucleotides) under Elizabethkingia sp. JS20170427COW. RNAcentral's name for it is "Bacterial RNase P class A". It matches the Rfam family "Bacterial RNase P class A". Rfam says of the family: Ribonuclease P (RNase P) is a ubiquitous endoribonuclease, found in archaea, bacteria and eukarya as well as chloroplasts and mitochondria. Its best characterised activity is the generation of mature 5'-ends of tRNAs by cleaving the 5'-leader elements of precursor-tRNAs. Cellular RNase Ps are ribonucleoproteins. Lineage: Bacteria; Pseudomonadati; Bacteroidota; Flavobacteriia; Flavobacteriales; Weeksellaceae. The record is from Rfam by way of RNAcentral.